AGACAAUAACAGAGCGCUGGGGAUCAAACACUGCUGCCCAGGAAAUUUUAAUCAUCAGCGCACCACUGGCUUUUUUUUCCCCCCAUCCGAUGUUGCCAGGCAACAGAAAGCAGAGACUUCUGGAACUGAGAAAUACGCCUGACAAGACCUUCAAAAUAAAUUUAUUGACAUCUUUGUCCAGAGUGAUAAGCCCAUGGACUUGUUCUACAAAUAUAGGAAUCACAAGGUGAUUGUUGAAAGAGUAACAUGGAGCAGCCGGGGUUUGAACCGCCAACCUUGCGGUUCCCGGCGCACUCUACUGCGUCGCAUAGUCCACAGCCACAAAGUUACCGCUUACUUUAUUACCAUCGCACACACAUCUAUCUAAAAUGGACCCUUCAUAACAUUAUGCCAGACUUAAAUUAUACAACAGAAUGAAUGC
Gasterosteus aculeatus aculeatus (three-spined stickleback) is the source of this 421-nucleotide long non-coding RNA. The record is from Ensembl. Lineage: Eukaryota; Metazoa; Chordata; Actinopteri; Perciformes; Gasterosteidae.